RNAcentral lists this transfer RNA (88 nucleotides) under Paractinoplanes brasiliensis. RNAcentral describes it as "Actinoplanes brasiliensis tRNA-Ala". The record is from RNAcentral. Lineage: Bacteria; Bacillati; Actinomycetota; Actinomycetes; Micromonosporales; Micromonosporaceae.
GCCGUGCUGCGGGACAGGCGCCUGGGGCGGUUCUGGCGGGACCGUGAGCCCGCCGAGGUCUACGAGCCGUUCAACCUGUUGCACCGCA